ACAGAGGUCUCAACCGUUGUUCGGAUUCAUUGGGCGUAAAGGGUGCGUAGGCGGUCGGGUAAGUCGGAUGUGAAAUCUCAGGGCUCAACCCUGAAACUGCAUUCGAUACUGCCUGGCUAGGGUACUGGAGAGGAGACUGGAAUUUACGGUGUAGCAGUGAAAUGCGUAGAUAUCGUAAGGAAGACCAGUGGCGAAGGCGAGUCUCUGGACAGUUACCGACGCUGAGGCACGAAGGUCAGGGGAGCAAACGGGA
This 253-nucleotide ribosomal RNA is filed under the name uncultured prokaryote. RNAcentral's name for it is "partial 16S ribosomal RNA". It matches the Rfam family "Bacterial small subunit ribosomal RNA", at positions 525 to 777 of the family's 1533-position model. The record is from RNAcentral.